This 30-nucleotide non-coding RNA is filed under the name Cricetulus griseus (Chinese hamster). The record is from RNAcentral. Lineage: Eukaryota; Metazoa; Chordata; Mammalia; Rodentia; Cricetidae.
UGUAAAUGAUGACAUCGCUUUUUUCCCCGU